ACGUCUAGUUCAUCGAACUGAAGAAUUGGAAGUAAAUUUUCAGAGGAUUUAGGAUCCGCAAAAGAAAUAUUAUGCUUCUUAAUGUAACGGUCAUACGCUUCUUCAUCAUUAUGAUUAGAAGCGUUAGCUGAGCCGAUCGCGGGUUGUGCGAUUUUUGCUCCCUCUUCCGCAUUGAUUUCUAUCGAUUCUUCUUUAGUUUUUGAUUUUCCUUUCUUUGAUUUCUUUUUAUCCUUUUUUGAAAUUCUAUCCUUGUCGGCAGAGGGCUUAUCUUUUUUAUGCUUCUUAUGCUCAUGCUUUGAUUUCUUCUCCUUUCGCUUAACAGAAGCUUCUUCAUCCGCCGAUCUUUUUAACUCUUCCACUGAUCGUUUCGCCAUUUUUAAAAGGAAAGCUUUGAAGAGAA
Molecule: non-coding RNA, 400 nt
Organism: Schizosaccharomyces pombe (fission yeast)
Lineage: Eukaryota; Fungi; Ascomycota; Schizosaccharomycetes; Schizosaccharomycetales; Schizosaccharomycetaceae
Source: the annotation of a GenBank genome assembly